AGGGCCCUAGGAAGUUUUUGAAAAUAUACAUACAUAGAUACAGGUCACUGAAAGUGCUUGAAUCUAUUUUAUGCAAGAAGUUUUCUGAAAAAAAAAUCCAUAUUAUUCCCUGUGUAGUGUAGGAUAAUAUCAUAAAAAUUCUAGACUUUUUAAGCACACGUUCGCUUUAAAUGCUUAUAUCUUCUGUAUGCAAGUGUUGAUUCAUACCAAAAUGCUUGUUCCCUGAGAAGUGAACAAUUAAAAAUUGCCACGUUUUAUUUUGUGCCACCAUACUUACUUGAGUAACUACUCAUGUAACAGUCUUUAAAUAGGGAAAACGUGGAAGUGUUUGGUGGCUUCUAAAUUCAUCCCUGUUUGGAUCCUAAGGAAUGAAUGGGGCUAGGCUAAAUGCUAACACAUUCACGAUGCGCUGUACAAAGAUUAAGUGCACGCAUUGAAUAAAGAUAGGUAUGUAUUCAUUCGUCUAAGUUGAGGUAAGAACAAAGUAAAAUAUUGAAAACGGUGGUGUUUUCCUUUAACCAAUGAACAUAAAUCAUGCACAGGUAUUGUUCAUCCACACAACACAUGGGAGCUUAUGAAUUGACAAACUGAUACAGAAGCGAUAUUUAAAAAUAGUUUGCACUAUUCACACUUUAUCCCAAGUCUGUUUUCUUGCUUAAUUCUUUAGAGAACUCUGGCGUUUAUUUUGAAGAGGAUUUUCUGUUUUUUUUUAAGUUUCAGUUGUAGCUAGUUGUUUUAAGUCUAUCACUGUUCCUACAGUAUAUGCAUAUGGGUGAUUCUCACGAAAUCCAGACUUAGAAGGUACAUAUAAGAUUAAGGUCUGAAUUACUAUAACCAUUAUUUUUAGAGGAAUUAAAAAAUAUUUCCUAUAGAAUAAUUACCUUUUUUAGAUUAUCAUUAUCAAAAAUUAUUAUUAUUACUGCAACAUGAUAUUACAUUAAAUAAAUGCAUUUACAAACUCAUGUUUCGGUAAUGAGAACUAAAAAGUUUUCUAGGUAUUAUGACAAACAAAAUUUCAACUUUUAUCUGGAGAGAAAAAAUAAGAACUGCUUACCUGGUAGCCAUCUUGAGUGUCACAGUCAAUUAUGUCCCUUCCAACAAUUUUUUUUUUUUUUGAAAAUUUUAGUUCCUUGAGGGCUUAAUGAUUGAAAAUUGUUGCAGAGAAUGAGAAAAUUGGUCUUGGACGCAUUUAUAUUCCUUAUUAUUGUGUCUACGUUUACCAAUGAUCACCAAAUACCACAUGUUUUUUUACUGUAAAUAUGUAUAGUAUAGCAUGCAUUGAGGCUUUUUAUUUUUUAAGUCAAAGAACCCAAAUCCAGUUAUGGACACAUUGCGGUAAUGAAAAUUUUCCCCUUAAAUGUGGAAAAACAACAAAAAAUUUUUGUAUGAUGCCAUUUAAAGUCAUGUGCAAAAUUGUACAUGAAGAGGUGUUUGUAACUGUAUGCUUCUUAUUUUGAUACUCUUACUUUGCAUUUACUUUUUUUAUCAAAAUGUUUCUUGACACCUCAUAAGUCCAAUUUCGUGAGAAUCACACAUUUUUUUUCUGAAAACACACAAUUGGUGUGUUUAUGACUUAAAUUAAUGUAUUAAAAUAAAUAUAUGUUAAGAUUUGUAUGUGUUCAACUUACUUAAAAUAUGCUAUUCAGCAGUGUUACGUGCCUGUUUAUUUAAGUAUUCAGUAUGUAAUCUUAUAGCAAGGCAAUAUUUUUUUACAUAAAAAUUAAGUUAAUUUGUUUACCAGACUCUGCUUUUACAUUUUCCAUAAUCAGCAGACACAAUAAUUAUUACUAUCAAAUAAAAACAUUUGGCCUCCGUUCAACACCUCUACACCUGAUAGCUUUGUUAACACUGCCUUUAAGUUCUACUUCUUAUAAUGUUUCAUAUGUAAUUAACAAACUGUGAUUUACAUGCUGGUUUGAGAAACAGGCUGCCGACAUAAUGGUUAAAAAGAGACGACUACAGUACAGUGAUCUUAAGUGCGUGAUCUACAGCAACACUGAGAAACAGAUUGCACUGAAAUUACUUUUGACGUGAUGCACAUACUGUGGAGAGUCAACAUGCGCAGCAAUUCUGGAUAAGGUAACGGGAGAGUGGAGAAAGCCGGAACACUUUUGGCCCAUUUAAUGCUCAUGAAAAGCAGACGCGCGGCUGAUUCGCACACAGACUCCGUCGCCACUUCAUACAGGUACAUAGGAG
This is a long non-coding RNA of Misgurnus anguillicaudatus (oriental weatherfish), 2196 nucleotides long. RefSeq lists it as uncharacterized. The record is from RefSeq and is a predicted model, not a curated record. Lineage: Eukaryota; Metazoa; Chordata; Actinopteri; Cypriniformes; Cobitidae.